Molecule: non-coding RNA, 106 nt
Organism: Xyrichtys novacula (pearly razorfish)
Lineage: Eukaryota; Metazoa; Chordata; Actinopteri; Labriformes; Labridae
Source: the annotation of a GenBank genome assembly
UGGUUUAAAUCUGGUUUAAACUGGUUUAAACCAGUUUAAACCAGGUUUAAACUGGAUUCAAACCGGUUUAAACUGGUUUAAACCGGUUUAAAUCUGGUUUAAACUG